RNAcentral lists this long non-coding RNA (776 nucleotides) under Phascolarctos cinereus (koala). RNAcentral describes it as "lncRNA (ENSPCIG00000019622.2)". The record is from RNAcentral. Lineage: Eukaryota; Metazoa; Chordata; Mammalia; Diprotodontia; Phascolarctidae.
CUCUGGUGGGAUGAACUAUCUGACCCUUAUCUGAGUUGACCUGACCCUGUCAUCUCUAUUUUAGCCCUGAUUUGAUCUGCUGUUUCAAAGCAACAAGGCUGAAGCUACACAGACCAUUUUCCUUUGCAGGUGAAGAUUUAUGAUAAGUAAACUGAUGGCUGAAAUAAAUCUGACACUGGCCCUUUGGAGAUUUGGUAUUUUUAACAAGGAAGAUUAUUCACGCUGUAAGGCAAGAACCAAUGAGAGACCAACCAAGCAAGUUCCAACAAUGCCUGCAACAAUUCCCGGGGCCUCUCCUUUGGAGAAAAUUGGACCCAAGAGAACAAUGCCUUUCUUUAUGAGAAUGACUGCAACACAACCAAAAUUAUUCACAAGAAAUUUCAUUUUAUCAUUUAAUCUAUUCCAAUUCUGGUACUUCUGCUGGAUGCAGGGAUAAAUUUCUGAGCAAAUAGCAUCUGAUAAUGACUAGCUUUUUAUGAACUACAGAGCCAAAUGAAAAAACAAAAAGAAAGUGACCAUAUUUUCUCUUAUGUAGAGCCAUGUUUAUUUUGUCCUAUUUUGUAUUUCUCUGAUCUCAAAUUUUGGAUGUAUAUAACACUCCAUACAAAGGAAUAUUUCCAUGUUUAGGUAACUAAUGAAUUCUGUAGAUGGAUGUGUGUGUGUGUGUGUGUGUGCAUGUGUGCCAACCUUAGAAAUAUGAAAUAUCUUGAGACCCAGGUAUGGCCAAGUAUAGGCUGUGAUAUGAAGUUUGAAGAAUAAAUUUCAAAGUUGUCACA